Molecule: long non-coding RNA, 612 nt
Filed under: Monodelphis domestica (gray short-tailed opossum)
Lineage: Eukaryota; Metazoa; Chordata; Mammalia; Didelphimorphia; Didelphidae
Description: lncRNA (ENSMODG00000035885.2)
Source: RNAcentral
GGGGACUAUGUCAAAUACUUCUAUGUGUCCCUGAAAGGGAUUUGUACUGUCAGUAGGAAAAAUAAUAUUGUUAAUUGCUUUAAAUGGUUUUCUUUCAUGAAAUCCUUAAUUGACUGUAAGGUUAUCACUAAUUGAGACUGCUCUUCUAAUUGGUCUUUUUUUCCCCAACCUUUUUAGUCUGGUUUCUGGAGAGAUGAUGAGUCCUGUGGACCCAAGUGGAAGGUGAAUCCUGUCACUGUCACCCUCUGCUCUCAUAUGGAGCAUCCUUAUUCUGUAGAAAUGCACCUCGAUAAAGUAACUUUCUUCCCUUUGGAGAUGUCCCCUUGAAGAAAAUGUGGAAUUUAUCUUCUCAUAAGAAAUUAGGAAUCAGAAGAUCAAGGAUCUCUUCUUUUUCAAACUUCUGACAAUUCUGCAUCUUAGACUAUGUGUCUGUAUGAGGUAUUUGUAGAAAUGGUGUGGAAAUACAACUCCCUCAUUUUAUAGAUAUCAAAUCCAUUGAAUCUUGAGAUUUCUCCAGUUUGGAGGAAAGGAGAUGGAGGUCAUACUUUCAGCAAGGAGGACAGUGCCCUGCACAUAGUAGGGCUUAAUAAAUGCUUGUUGAUUGGUUGAUCA